This 253-nucleotide ribosomal RNA is filed under the name uncultured bacterium. RNAcentral describes it as "partial 16S ribosomal RNA". It matches the Rfam family "Bacterial small subunit ribosomal RNA", at positions 524 to 776 of the family's 1533-position model. The record is from RNAcentral.
UACGUAGGGUGCGAGCGUUAUUCGGAAUUACUGGGCGUAAAGCGUGCGUAGGCGGCUUUGUAAGUCAGAUGUGAAAUCCCCGAGCUUAACUUGGGAACUGCAUUUGGGACUGCAAGGCUAGAGUACGGCAGAGGGGGGUAGAAUUCCUGGUGUAGCAGUGAAAUGCGUAGAUAUCAGGAGGAAUACCGAUGGCGAAGGCAGCCCCCUGGGUCGAUACUGACGCUCAUGCACGAAAGCGUGGGGAGCAAACAGG